Molecule: long non-coding RNA, 3390 nt
Filed under: Homo sapiens (human)
Lineage: Eukaryota; Metazoa; Chordata; Mammalia; Primates; Hominidae
Description: HSALNT0204880
Source: RNAcentral
CCAGAAUACAACAUAAGGCAGAGUAAGGAAUAAUUCACUCUCUGAAUGACUGUUUUCAAGCUGGGACAUGGGUCUCCUGCCUUCAGACUUGGUCUCAGAUAGAACUUAACCUUCAAUUCUUCUGGUUUUUGGACUGAGAAUAGGAUUGGGGCUUAAACCAUCAGCUUUCCUGGUUCUCGGGUCUUUGGAUCCUGAUUGGAAUGAUAUCAUUGGCUUUCCAGAGUCUUUAGCUUGCUGACUGCAUAUCUUGGAACUUCUCAGCUUUCAUAAUCAAUUACAGUUGAAUAUGAGGAGCUGGAUUGCAGUGUCAUGACCUGGGCUCAGUGUAACUUCCAUCUGCCAGGCUCAAGAGAUCCUCCCGCCUCAGCGUCUCGAGUAGCUGGGACUACAGGAACGUGCCACCAGGCCUGGCUAAUUUUUUAUUUUUUUUGUGAAGACGGGGUUUCACUAUGUGGCUCAGGCUGGUCUCAAACUCCAGGAAUCAAGGGACCCACCUGCCUAGGCCUCCCAAAGUGCUGGGAUUACAGGCAUGAGCUACCGCACCAGGGCUACUGAAAUGUACAUAUGGUAGAGGUGCAGCAUCAGUCAUGCUGAUGAAGAAAACAUCCAUGGGAUUGAUGGAGGAUGAAAACGGGCUCAAUAAAAAUUCACAGAGAAAAGCUGCCUUACGUGUGAGAUUGCAAGAGGACAACUCGGCUCUAAAAUCGAUGCAUUAACAUGUCAUUGGAAUUGACCUUGCCAAAAGAUGCCUCCCUAAAUCCACAAGAAUCUCCUUGUUUGAACACAGUUUCUAAUCCAGCUGUAAUGAAGACAGACAACAGUCAAAUUAACAACUGAUCAGGAGGAGAAGUUCAUACUCCUUGAGCUGGAUCUAUCUGCACAUGCACCUGGCCCAGGAAGCUGAAAUGGGAGAUCUGAUGAGCAGUGGAGGACUGAACCAAAGCCCUUGGCUUUUGCUCCAUACCAGUCAGAGUCUCAUCAGGAUAUCAUGUUGCAUUGAGUAGUCAUGUCUCCACAGGCUUUUCUUGGCUGCGACUCUUACUCACGUUUUCCUUGGUUUUGCCCACCUUACAGUUUACAGUAGUGGUCAGGUAUUUUGUAGUAUGUCCCUCACUUGGGCUUUGCUUGAUGCUUAUCUCCUGAGAAAACUAGGGAUAUGUAUUUUGGGGAGGAAGGCCACAGAGAUGAAGUGACAUUCUUUUCACAUCAUAUCAAUGCUACAUACUAUCAAAAGGGCUUAUCACUGUUGAUGUUAAUUUUAAUCACCUGGCUAAGAUAUUCUUUUUCAGGAUUUUGACUUUAAAGUUACCCUUUAUGCUUUUCCUUCUCAUAAAGUGCUCUUUGAAAUGAAGUCACUCUGUGCAGCAGACAUUUAAAAAGCAGGAAAUUAUGGUGACAGAGUAUCUGUAUAAAUUAUUUGCAGUUCUUUUAUUUUCAGAGUUUGGAAUUAUAGCACUCCUAUAAAUCUUAUUACUAAUGGUGCCACAAAUUGUGUACUACUGAUAUGUAUUAGUGCACAACUUAAAGCAUGUGGACAUGAGCUGUAUUUGAAAAAACAUUCAGAUGGAAGAGCUACCUGAUUUGAAGUGAAUCUUAAUUGGAACUUAAUGAUGCCUCCUAGUAAUUUACUAUUUUAGCUGAACCUACAGUAUCAGCUGUAGCCCAGAAAAUAUAAGAGCUACAAUUCGUACAAUUCAACAUCAGCUGCCAAGGCCCACCUGGACUGCACCUGCAAAACCAGCUGUGGUUUCUUUGCUCUCACAAUUCAUGUCAGUGUUUUUCAGCCAAUGCAUCACUGGUUUCGAAUUUUAUACUGUUCCUCUCUCAGUCCUCCACCCCUCUAGUUUCUAAAUGAUAGAGAAUAAUUAGGUGAGGUUUAAACUCUCAGGAUUAUUCAGGGUUUGUGGAGAGUAGGAAGGUUUCUUCCAGGUUACAGCACAAUUUAAGGAGCCUGGCAAGAAGCAUCCAAUAUUAGCAAGUAGAAAAGCAGCAUAAGUAUGAGGUUGGAACUUCCCACGAUACUUAGUACAUGGAAAAAAAUGUAGAACAUACCAAAAAAAAAGCAAAUUGUAAAAAAAUUUCACAAAUAAAAAUACUGUUAUGAAAAUUAUAAUUCACAUUUUUAAUAUUUUUUAUUGUAAAAUGUAUAAAAUUUGCCAUUUAACCUCUUAAGUGUACAAUUCAGUGGCAUUAAUUGUAUUUACAGUUUUGUGCAACAAUCACCACUAUUUUCAAAAAUUUUCAUCAAUCCAAACAGAAACUCUGGCAAUUAGUAACAACUCCCCAUUUUUUAUUCCUAAUCCAUCCCCUAGUAAACUCUAAAUCUUGUCUCUGUGAAUCUCCCUGUUCUAAAUAUUUGUAUAAGAGGAAUCAUACAACAUUGACCCUUUUGUGUCUGGCUAAUUUCACUUUGCAUAAUGUUUAAAAGCUUCAUCCAUAUAGUGACAUGUAUGAGAACUUCAUUUCUUUUUUAUGGCUCAAUUAUAUUCCACAGUAUGCACACACACCCCAUUUUGUUUAUCCAUUCAUCUGUUGAUAGACACACGUGGGUUAUUUCCUCCUUUUGGCUGUUAUGAAUAAUGCUGCUAUAAACACUAGUGUGCAUUUAUCUGAAUUCAUGUUUUACAUUCAUUGGGAUACCAAAUUAAAAUGCUGGGUCAUAUGGUAAUUCUGUUUAACAUUUUAAGGUAUCACCAAACUGUCUUCCACAGCAGCUGCAUCAUUUUAAAUGCAGACCAACAAAGUAUGAUUCUCCAAAUUUCCCAGUUACUCGUCAACUCUUGUUCUACAUUUUCUAACUAUAGUGAUACUAGUAGGUAUAACAUUAUGUCAUUGUGAUUUUGAUUUGCAAUGGCCUAAAAACUAAUGGUUUUUUAAUAACUUUCAUGUUGUACUCAUUGGCCAUUUGCAUAUCUUUAGCAAAAUGUCUAUUCAAAUCCUUUGCCUGUUUUUAAUUGGGUUGUUUUGUCUUUUUGUUGUAGAGUUGUAGUUUUUUAAUGUCUUGAUAUAAAUCUCUUACAAGAUACAUACUUCACAGUACAUUAUCUCAUUUUGUAAAUAAGUUAUUUCACUCUCUUAGUGAUGUUUUUAUUAUCUAAAGGUUUUAAUACUUUUUAAAACUUGUACUGUGAAUAUGAUAUGCCCUGUGAUUAACAAAUUUAUUUAUUACUUAAACAACUUAAUUUUUAAAAAUAAUUGCAUGAAUAUUUUUGUCCUAUUUGUUCCAUUCCUACUUCGUGAACACCAAUUAUCUGUUUGACAGAUUGUCAUUUUCCAUGCUUCAUACAAAUUCUUUUUUCUUCUGCAUUUUUUUCUUUCCAAUCUUUGUGAAUGUAUUUAAUUUUCUUGCCUUGAUAUUCUGACUAGAACCUCCAGUAUAAUUUAUUUAUU